CCUACGGGUGGCUGCAGUGGGGAAUAUUGGACAAUGGGCGAAAGCCUGAUCCAGCCAUGCCGCGUGUGUGAAGAAGGCCUUCGGGUUGUAAAGCACUUUCAGUGGGGAAGAAAGCCUUGGGGCUAAUACCCUCGAGGAAGGACAUCACCCACAGAAGAAGCACCGGCUAACUCCGUGCCAGCAGCCGCGGUAAUACGGAGGGUGCGAGCGUUAAUCGGAAUUACUGGGCGUAAAGCGCGCGUAGGCGGUCUGAUAAGCCGGUUGUGAAAGCCCCGGGCUCAACCUGGGAACGGCAUCCGGAACUGUCAGGCUAGAGUGCAGGAGAGGAAGGUAGAAUUCCCGGUGUAGCGGUGAAAUGCGUAGAGAUCGGGAGGAAUACCAGUGGCGAAGGCGGCCUUCCGGACUGACACUGACGCUGAGGUGCGAAAGCGUGGGUAGCAAACAGGAUUAGAUCCCCGAGUAGUC
RNAcentral lists this ribosomal RNA (465 nucleotides) under Vreelandella stevensii. RNAcentral's name for it is "partial 16S ribosomal RNA". It matches the Rfam family "Bacterial small subunit ribosomal RNA", at positions 338 to 795 of the family's 1533-position model. Lineage: Bacteria; Pseudomonadati; Pseudomonadota; Gammaproteobacteria; Oceanospirillales; Halomonadaceae. The record is from RNAcentral.